Molecule: non-coding RNA, 305 nt
Organism: Marmota flaviventris (yellow-bellied marmot)
Lineage: Eukaryota; Metazoa; Chordata; Mammalia; Rodentia; Sciuridae
Source: RefSeq, a predicted model, not a curated record
CGCAGACCUUGAGGAAACCUCGCUCCGUAGCUAUUCUUCACUGUCUCUCCGGCAAAGUAGUGCUGAGAGAAGAAUGAACUACUUUGUGGACUCCACUAUGAGCAGCCCUGUCCCUUACCCAGCAUCUCGUCCUGCAGUGGUGAGGCAGGGACCUAUCAACACUUUUGAAGAUCCUCGAAUGACCUAUGGCUACCAGUCCAGUUAUCACCAGCAAAGAUCUUGCUACCCAUUCUGGGAUGAGAUGGCCACUCAGGAAGUUCCUACUGGUCUUGAACACUGUGGCUCAGGUGCUCACUUGCCCCUUC